Molecule: long non-coding RNA, 961 nt
Organism: Gavialis gangeticus (Gharial)
Lineage: Eukaryota; Metazoa; Chordata; Crocodylia; Gavialidae
Exons: 4
Source: RefSeq, a predicted model, not a curated record
AAACAGAGUUCAAAGGAACCAUUUUGGCAGAUGCGUACUAUGCAUUGAAGAAAUCAUGCUGAAUAUCAAGCAGUAAGAUCUUAAAAUUGGAGAAAAUACGCUCCCAAAACUGAAAGACUCCUGGUAAACAAGACAGAGAAGAUAAUUCUACAGUGAUCAAUUUCUUCAAGAAUGGAAGAAACCUUGCCAACACACUAUUUGCUUGCGACAGAAAACAGAAACUACAAAGUGUCAAGCACCCCCUUUUCCAUGUUUCAAUGCACAGCUGUUAACAUCUGACCCAACCUGAUAUCCAACCCUGCAUGGCAUCUCCCAAACUGGACCAAGAAGGGCUGAGGCAAGAGCAGGUGUUUCUGCCAGCUUUCAGCUUAUGAGGUUGGAUCCAGCCAGGAAGAAGCCCCAUGGUUCAGAUCCCUUCCAUGUCCAAAGGUGGGUUUGAUGACCUUGCUAUACACGAUAAGCCACAUCAGUAACUCAGCAUGAUUUACAGCAGGGAGUCUUUUAUAAACUCAACACAGUAAGAGCUCUUAUGCUAAUAAUGCACAUUUUAAUCAGGAAACCUGCCAGCUGACAUACCUGUAUUACUUGUUCUCCAUCCUAACCACAUAGUGCUUACCUGUAACUCAUUAAGCUAUUUGCUUUGAUUAAAAAUACACUACAUCAGGUGGUUUCAUAAGUUCUAAUUAUAUACGUACAGGUAUAUAAUUAGUUACAAAAUAGCUUUUUGAAAGGUGUUGCCUUUCAUGUCAGAGUGCCUUGAAGAUCAAGCCUUACAGGAAAGGGGACUUAAAAAACCCCAAAUACAUGCACACAAGCACAUGCACAUACACUCCUAACUCGUCUUCUCUGUCAUUCAUCCUAUAAGCUUCUCAUUUCUGACCCUGAAGUCCUUGCGUGAAGUCCUGACUCCAUUAAAGUCAAGGAAGUCAGUGUAGUCAGCACAUCACUCCUGCUUUUUCUG